CCUACGGGAGGCAGCAGUGGGGAAUAUUGCACAAUGGGGGAAACCCUGAUGCAGCGACGCCGCGUGAGGGAAGAAGUAUUUCGGUACGUAAAGCUCUAUCAGCAGGGAAGAAAAUGACGGUACCUGACUAAGAAGCCCCGGCUAACUACGUGCCAGCAGCCGCGGUAAUACGUAGGGGGCAAGCGUUAUCCGGAUUUACUGGGUGUAAAGGGAGCGGAGACGGCAGCGCAAGUCUGGAGUGAAAUCCCAUGGCUUAACCAUGGAACUGCUUUUGAAACUGUGCAGCUAGAGUGCAGGAGAGGUAAGCGGAAUUCCUAGUGUAGCGGUGAAAUGCGUAGAUAUUAGGAGGAACACCAGUGGCGAAGGCGGCUUACUGGACUGUAACUGACGUUGAGGCUCGAAAGCGUGGGGAGCAAACAGGAUUAGAUACCCCGGUAGUC
Molecule: ribosomal RNA, 440 nt
Filed under: uncultured bacterium
Lineage: Bacteria
Description: partial 16S ribosomal RNA
Rfam family: Bacterial small subunit ribosomal RNA
Source: RNAcentral